RNAcentral lists this transfer RNA (62 nucleotides) under Cryptocelis alba. Its description in RNAcentral is "tRNA-Ala". The record is from RNAcentral. Lineage: Eukaryota; Metazoa; Platyhelminthes; Polycladida; Cryptocelidae.
CUCCUAGUAGUUUAUUCAAAAUAUUAGUUUUGCGUACUAAAGAUGGUGAGGACCCUUGGUGG